UUCUAUAAAUAUGGGCGUCACAUAGGGAGCAGCUCAAGAGGAAACUUGACCAUCACCAGAGUUUCCAAGUCUGAUGAAGGACUUUACAAAUGUAAGAUCUCAGGAGGUGGAGAAUCCCCAGAGAGCUGGCUGUCUGUCUCUGCGCCAUGUCUCACAGCUUCCACACCCUGGAUAAUUGCUACUAUUUUACUGACCACUCUGAUUAUUGUGUUGAUGGGACUCUAUCUCUUCCGCAAAGAUUGGUACAGAGGCCCAACUGAAGAUCAAACAGGACAGAACACAAACAAUGAAGCUGAGUUGUGUCCUAAUCCAGUUUAUCAUUCUUUGGGCCAGGGUGGCACUCAACCUGUUGCAGAAACAGUGAAAUCUGCUGUUGCAUACAAACCUUCCCAAGAUAUCUACCAACCUGUGGCAGAGGAACCUUUCUAUUCUACAAUUAAAAAACAUGCCCAUCACUGAGUGAGACUGAAAACAAGGAAGUAACUUAGAAACAUCCCGUAUUGUUUAUUGUGUAUCAUUUUGCAGUCAGUUAAAAUCUGUGUAUUGUGUAUUCGUAAGUGCUUACUGUAUUACAGGUCUCUGUAUAAUGAUACGUAAAGAAUUCACAAUGAUUAGAAAUGUGAAAACAAAUUUACUUCAGAUUUGGUGUCAAUUCACAAAUGAAUUGAAUUAAAUUGAGUUCCAAAUGUUACAGGUGAUUGCAUUAGAUAAUAAUAAUAAUCAUCUGGACUUUAUUUGUUUGAGCUUUCUUUCUCAGUUACAAAUGAGGCCCAGUGGAGUAAAGGCAUAAAAAAGAAAUAGUCAUGUUUCCAACCUUGUUAGCAUGGUCCAACUAUAAACAUGGUUAUGGAUAAAAUAAUUCAUGUAUUGCUAAUGAUAUAUUUCACAAAUCAGCUAUUAAUGUCAUUAUAACUUAAUAUAAUGAAUGAAGUACUAUGAUUUUAUUCUGUGUGGAUUUUUGUGCCCCCUGCAUCCAAGUACUGUGUGUGUAGGUGUGUGUCUGUGUACUUCAUGAGGACAUAGCAUUUGGUCUUCACAAAACAAAACCCUCCAUCCUCAUAAUUUUGAAGUCAUUUUUGAGGUUCAAGGCUCCCUUCGUUGACUUUCUGUCAAUUUUAGGAUACACUUUUUAAAGAUUUAAUUAAUUAAUUUUAUGAUCAUGAUUCUGAAUGGGCUGACACCGCUGCAUCAGUCUGACAAUAUUCAUGGUCACACUCUUAUCAGGUCAUCCAAUGAAAUGAUCCUAAAUAAUCCAAGAUCUAGACUUAGAAAAAACUGACGUUAAAAACUGAGGUGGCCACUUCAUGUUAGAACUGCCCAAACUGAUUCUACAGUACUUUUAACUGUUUAUUCUUUAGUCUUUGAUUCAAGCUAAAGCGGCCUCACGGUGCAGAGAUAGUCUCUCACUAAGAGAACCAAGGUUACACCGUAACCGUACGAUCUCGUAAUGUUUUUUCUUCUCAUCAUUAUUAUUAUUAUUUCUUUACUUGUUCAACAUAGGUGUUAUCCAUGGACAUGUAGUGUUUUAUGUUAUUUUCGUUUAAUCAUUAAAUAAAGGAAUU
Long non-coding RNA from Haplochromis burtoni (Burton's mouthbrooder), 1562 nucleotides. RefSeq lists it as uncharacterized. The transcript has 5 exons. NCBI's taxonomy places the organism in Eukaryota, Metazoa, Chordata, Actinopteri, Cichliformes, Cichlidae. The record is from RefSeq and is a predicted model, not a curated record.